UACGUAGGGUGCGAGCGUUGUCCGGAAUUAUUGGGCGUAAAGAGCUCGUAGGCGGCCUGUUGCGUCCGCUGUGAAAGCCCGGGGCUUAACCCCGGGUCUGCAGUGGAUACGGGCAGGCUAGAGGUAGGUAGGGGAGAAUGGAAUUCUCGGUGUAGCGGUGAAAUGCGCAGAUAUCAGGAGGAACACCGGUGGCGAAGGCGGGUCUCUGGGCCGAUACUGACGCUGAGGAGCGAAAGCGUGGGGAGCGAACAGG
RNAcentral lists this ribosomal RNA (253 nucleotides) under uncultured bacterium. RNAcentral describes it as "partial 16S ribosomal RNA". It matches the Rfam family "Bacterial small subunit ribosomal RNA", at positions 524 to 776 of the family's 1533-position model. The record is from RNAcentral.